UGCAGUCGAGCGAACAGAUAAGGAGCUUGCUCCUUUGACGUUAGCGGCGGACGGGUGAGUAACACGUGGAUAACCUACCUAUAAGACUGGGAUAACUUCGGGAAACCGGAGCUAAUACCGGAUAAGAUUUUGAACCGCAUGGUUCAAUAGUGAAAGACGGCCUUGCUGUCACUUAUAGAUGGAUCCGCGCCGUAUUAGCUAGUUGGUAAGGUAACGGCUUACCAAGGCAACGAUACGUAGCCGACCUGAGAGGGUGAUCGGCCACACUGGAACUGAGACACGGUCCAGACUCCUACGGGAGGCAGCAGUAGGGAAUCUUCCGCAAUGGGCGAAAGCCUGACGGAGCAACGCCGCGUGAGUGAUGAAGGUCUUCGGAUCGUAAAACUCUGU
RNAcentral lists this ribosomal RNA (390 nucleotides) under Staphylococcus pasteuri. Its description in RNAcentral is "bacterial SSU rRNA". It matches the Rfam family "Bacterial small subunit ribosomal RNA", at positions 56 to 436 of the family's 1533-position model. The record is from RNAcentral. Lineage: Bacteria; Bacillati; Bacillota; Bacilli; Caryophanales; Staphylococcaceae.